This 65-nucleotide small nuclear RNA is filed under the name Pongo abelii (Sumatran orangutan). RNAcentral's name for it is "U7 small nuclear RNA (ENSPPYG00000029174.2)". It matches the Rfam family "U7 small nuclear RNA". Rfam says of the family: Animal histone pre-mRNAs are spliced by a different mechanism than nuclear pre-mRNAs and self-splicing introns. Lineage: Eukaryota; Metazoa; Chordata; Mammalia; Primates; Hominidae. The record is from Rfam by way of RNAcentral.
AAGUGUUGUAGCUCCUUUAGAAUUUGUCUAGCAGGUUUUAUAGGUUUUGCCCAAAAAUUUCCCAC